This 233-nucleotide long non-coding RNA is filed under the name Elaeis guineensis (African oil palm). RNAcentral's name for it is "long non-coding RNA (EGUI_LNC073127)". Lineage: Eukaryota; Viridiplantae; Streptophyta; Magnoliopsida; Arecales; Arecaceae. The record is from RNAcentral.
CGCCAAUUCUAUUGGUGCAGAAUUCUACUGAUGCCGAAGAAGCUGGAGUCGAGGGGAUCACGGCUGCCGUCAGGACCUGCAAGGAAAGUCUAAACCGGAGUUGGGGGUGCUCUGGUAAGAUCCUCCGAUACUCAAGUUAGUACUAUGCUUCAACAGAAAUGGAGCACUCGAAUGGGAUUUUAGCAGAGUUUAGAGAUAAUGCUUAGAGCUUAGAGGAGAACGUAUUUGGGGGG